AACGAACGCUGGCGGCAGGCCUAACACAUGCAAGUCGAACGCCCUAGCAAUAGGGAGUGGCAGACGGGUGAGUAACACGUGGGAACCUUCCCUAUAGUAUGGAAUAGCCCAGGGAAACUUGGAGUAAUACCGUAUACGCCCGAGAGGGGAAAGAUUUAUCGCUAUAGGAUGGGCCCGCGUAGGAUUAGCUAGUUGGUGAGGUAAUGGCUCACCAAGGCGACGAUCCUUAGCUGGUCUGAGAGGACGACCAGCCACACUGGGACUGAGACACGGCCCAGACUCCUACGGGAGGCAGCAGUGGGGAAUAUUGGACAAUGGGCGCAAGCCUGAUCCAGCCAUGCCGCGUGAGUGAUGAAGGCCUUAGGGUUGUAAAGCUCUUUUGCCGGGGACGAUAAUGACGGUACCCGGAGAAUAAGUCCCGGCUAACUUCGUGCCAGCCGCCGCGGUAA
This 449-nucleotide ribosomal RNA is filed under the name uncultured bacterium. RNAcentral describes it as "partial 16S ribosomal RNA". It matches the Rfam family "Bacterial small subunit ribosomal RNA", at positions 29 to 523 of the family's 1533-position model. The record is from RNAcentral.